Molecule: long non-coding RNA, 2014 nt
Organism: Triticum aestivum (bread wheat)
Lineage: Eukaryota; Viridiplantae; Streptophyta; Magnoliopsida; Poales; Poaceae
Exons: 2
Source: RefSeq, a predicted model, not a curated record
CAAAGAGCAGAAAAAAAAGGAAAGUGAUCUCAAUCAGAGCCCCAUGCGCCGCCGCCUGAUGAGUGUCGGACAUCCACGCCACAUGCGCCGCCGCCUGACCCUCCUCCGCCACCGCAGCCGUCGCAGAACCGACGAGUGCGCCGGCAGCACCUCCCAUCCCCUCCUAUCAUCUUCCCUAUCCCUACCCAGUGGACGACUAGGUAGAGCUGACGUCUCCUCCUUCACCAACAUCGACGAUGAGCUGAGAUGACGCCCUCUCACCAGGCACGCCCUUGAUCAGGACGGCACCGCCGAGCCCGUGGCCCUCCUCCCCAGGUCACCGAAUCUAGCCAAGAUCUGCCCCGUCCUCCCACAUCGGCCACCAUGGUCGUCCUCCCCUGCACCCAAGGUAAUUUGGAUGGCCCCGUCUCUCACGAAUACAACAAGCUGCGUGCAUUGGACGGAGCGAACAUAGCCAACCACGUGGGUGGCGGUGGCGGCAGCUGGACCGAGGAAGAGACCCGCGUCCGGCGGCCUGGAGCAUGCUGAUGGCCGCGGCGGGGAAGGCACAUGCCUUGCUCCUCAAUUGCUACCUGCCCCCUCAGUCAAACUCUAAAGGCCUUUCCCAAACAGAUUGGAGAUCGACAAGAAUGGCGGCGACCGCAACUAUGACCUACGGCGAAGGAGAAACUGACUCUGAGCAAUGGAGGCGUGACGACGCUGCUCGUGUUGGACUCAGCGGUGCUCUCGGUGCACGGCCGAUGGGUGAUGGUGCUCGAGGCUGACAACUCCGUGGUCAAAGCCACCGGCGGCGGCUGAGUAAGGGCACUUGUGCGGUCAAGGUACAUCUUAUCCUUUCAUUCAUCCCUCUCUCCCUGCCUCCCUCCCUCGCUCUCCCGGCCGGCCCCGACGGUGUCGCCAUUAGCCCACGACCAUGGACCAGCGGUGAACUGGGAACUCCGUCCGCAGGGAACGGGGAGCACUGGUGCUCUGCUGGUGAACGCUUGUUGCGGGGACAUGAAGAUCUCUAGCGAUGGGGAAUGGAGAGAGCUUUGGUAGAUAGACCUGCUCUCUCUGGAUGCGAACAAGAUUUUAUCUCUCUUGGAUUUUUUUGUGUGUGUCAGAUAGCAGAGAGGAACACUGCUGGUGAGCAGAUUCUUAUCACUGCCAGCAUGAACAUUGCUGCUUGAUCAAGAGUGUGGUAUGUGACGCUAUAUUUUGAUGUAUACUACAGUAUUAUUUUGUUGCUAGUACACAUUAUUUCCAUCUAAUAUUUUUUUCAGAGGCAGAGAAAAUUAUUUUGUAGGCUUUUAAACAAAGAACAAAAAUAAGACAUGUUAUGCAUCAAGGAUAGGAAUUAAAAUAUGUAAAGGUCAGUAAAAAAGUAUGCACAUAAAUUGCUAUUCUUUUUCAGUUGGCAACAUUGCAUACAUAAUUUGAAUCUUAAUUAAUGGAAUUCAUUGUUCCAUGUUGGAAGUUCCUGAAGAGCUUGAAAUAAUCCAUUUUGUAUGGGACUUGUCAAUCCACCUAUACCAAAUAAGGUUGUUUCCGGAGCCUGACAGCUUGUUUUUUUUAGAUUUUCACCUUCGGGUAAGCAUGGCAUGGUGAUUAAAACGUUUCUUAAAAAAUGAACUCAUAAUGAGAAGUUAUGUUCUAAUUAAGAUUGAUUAAGGGUUGUGCCUUUUUAAUUAUUUAGCAUGAAUAUAUAGCAGGCUGGUUCAGUGAUCAUCUAUGAACUAAAAUUAUACUCUUUUGUUCAGGUAAGAUGGGAGGAUGGCACAGACUGUACUACCAAAUUAGAUGAUCUCCAUGGGAGAUCGAGAUUGUUGGUGGUUCAACCUCUCCUGCUCAGUGUCUGGCACUAUCAAUGACCUGCAGACACAAACAAUGUUGUAAUCUUUCCUUUAUUACUCCAGGACCACCCAAGUUAAUGGUUCUACAUCUAAUGUAGAUUAUAUAUGUAUGAACCCUGUCUCUGGCAGCAUCAAUGACUUGCAGACACAAACAUUCAUAUACUUCUAUGUGUAAAAUUUAA